GGGGGGGGGGGGGGGCGGGCGGGGGGCGGGGGGGGCGGGCGGGGCCGUCGGGGCUGGUGGCGCCCGGGUGCGUAACGCGUGGGAACCUGCCCGUAGGUUCGGCAUAACUCCCGGAGCGGGGUUCUACUGCCGGCUACUGUCUUCGGACCACAGAUUUAUCGCCUUGGGAUGUGCCCGCGUGGGAUUAGCUCAUGGGUAGGGUAAAAGCCUACCACGGCGACGAUCCAUAGCUGGUCUGAGAGGAUGAUCAGCCACACUGGGACUGAGACACGGCCCAGACUCCGACGGGAGGCAGGAGUGGGGAAUAGUGGACAAUGGGCGAAAGCCUGAUCCAGCAAUGCCGCGUGAGUGAUGAAGGCCGUAGGGUUGGAAAGCUCUUUUACCCGGGAUGAUAAUGACAGUACCGGGAGAAUAAGCUCCGGCUAACUCCGUG
RNAcentral lists this ribosomal RNA (433 nucleotides) under uncultured bacterium. RNAcentral's name for it is "partial 16S ribosomal RNA". It matches the Rfam family "Bacterial small subunit ribosomal RNA", at positions 38 to 507 of the family's 1533-position model. The record is from RNAcentral.